This 180-nucleotide ribosomal RNA is filed under the name uncultured Glomeromycotina. Its description in RNAcentral is "partial small subunit ribosomal RNA". Lineage: Eukaryota; Fungi; Glomeromycota. The record is from RNAcentral.
GGGUUCUACCGUUGGUCGGGCUAUAGUCUGUACUGGCGUGUGGAAUUUCUACCUUCUGGGGAACUAUCAUGUUAUUAAUUUAGCGUGGUAGGAAACCAGAACCUUUACCUUGAAAAAAUUAGAGUGUUUCAGGCAGGCAAUUGCUUGGAUACUUCAGCAUGGAAUAAUGGAAUAGGACUU